AUCCAGCUGACGAAUCCCAAAUAGGACGAAACGCGCAUCCUGGAU
Schistosoma curassoni is the source of this 45-nucleotide non-coding RNA. The record is from Rfam. Lineage: Eukaryota; Metazoa; Platyhelminthes; Trematoda; Strigeidida; Schistosomatidae.